This 449-nucleotide ribosomal RNA is filed under the name uncultured bacterium. RNAcentral describes it as "partial 16S ribosomal RNA". It matches the Rfam family "Bacterial small subunit ribosomal RNA", at positions 29 to 523 of the family's 1533-position model. The record is from RNAcentral.
AACGAACGCUGGCGGCAUGCCUAACACAUGCAAGUCGAACGAGAUCUUCGGGUCUAGUGGCGCACGGGUGCGUAACGCGUGGGAAUCGGCCCUUUGGUUCGGAAUAACAGUUGGAAACGACUGCUAAUACCGGAUGAUGACGAAAGUCCAAAGAUUUAUCGCCAGAGGAUGAGCCCGCGUAGGAUUAGCUAGUUGGUGUGGUAAAGGCGCACCAAGGCGACGAUCCUUAGCUGGUCUGAGAGGAUGAUCAGCCACACUGGGGCUGAGACACGGCCCAGACUCCUACGGGAGGCAGCAGUGGGGAAUAUUGGACAAUGGGCGAAAGCCUGAUCCAGCAAUGCCGCGUGAGUGAUGAAGGCCUUAGGGUUGUAAAGCUCUUUUACCCGGGAUGAUAAUGGCAGUACCGGGAGAAUAAGCUCCGGCUAACUCCGUGCCAGCAGCCGCGGUAA